Molecule: ribosomal RNA, 291 nt
Filed under: uncultured bacterium
Lineage: Bacteria
Description: partial 16S ribosomal RNA
Rfam family: Bacterial small subunit ribosomal RNA
Source: RNAcentral
GUGCCAGCAGCCGCGGUAAUACAGAGACUGCAAGCGUUAUUCGGAUUCACUGGGCGUAAAGGGUGCGCAGGCGGUCGUGUGUGUCAGGUGUGAAAUCUCGGAGCUCAACUCCGAAACUGCGCCUGAAACUACAUGACUAGAGCAUUGGAGAGGGUAGCGGAAUUCACGGUGUAGCAGUGAAAUGCGUAGAUAUCGUGAGGAACACCAGAGGCGAAGGCGGCUACCUGGACAAUUGCUGACGCUCAGGCACGAAAGCGUGGGGAGCAAAAGGGAUUAGAUACCCGGUAGUCC